RNAcentral lists this ribosomal RNA (440 nucleotides) under uncultured bacterium. RNAcentral describes it as "partial 16S ribosomal RNA". It matches the Rfam family "Bacterial small subunit ribosomal RNA", at positions 338 to 795 of the family's 1533-position model. The record is from RNAcentral.
CCUACGGGUGGCAGCAGUGGGGGAUAUUGCACAAUGGGGGAAACCCUGAUGCAGCGACGCCGCGUGUGGGAAGACGGUCUUCUGGAUUGUAAACCACUGUCCCCAGGGACGAAAAUGACGGUACCUGGGGAGGAAGCUCCGGCUAACUACGUGCCAGCAGCCGCGGUAAUACGUAGGGAGCAAGCGUUGUCCGGAAUUACUGGGUGUAAAGGGAGCGUAGGCGGGGAUGCAAGUUGGGUGUCAAAACUACCGGCUCAACCGAUAGUCGCACUCAAAACUGCAGCCCUUGAGUGAACGAGAGGAAGGCGGAAUGCGUGGUGUAGCGGUGAAAUGCGUAGAUAUUAGGCAGAACACCAGUGGCGAAGGCAGCCUUCUGGGCUUUUACUGACGCUGAGGCACGAAAGUGUGGGGAGCGAACAGGAUUAGAUACCCCAGUAGUC